Molecule: ribosomal RNA, 253 nt
Filed under: uncultured bacterium
Lineage: Bacteria
Description: partial 16S ribosomal RNA
Rfam family: Archaeal small subunit ribosomal RNA
Source: RNAcentral
UACCAGCACCCCGAGUGGUCGGGACGAUUAUUGGGCCUAAAGCAUGCGUAGCCGGUCAUGCAAGUCUUCCGUUAAAUCCAGCCGCUCAACGGUUGGGCUGCGGAGGAUACUACGUGGCUAGGAGGCGGGAGAGGCAAGCGGUACUCAGUGGGUAGGGGUAAAAUCCUUUGAUCCAUUGAAGACCACCAGUGGCGAAGGCGGCUUGCCAGAACGCGCUCGACGGUGAGGGAUGAAAGCUGGGGGAGCAAACCGG